This 1006-nucleotide ribosomal RNA is filed under the name Halomonas heilongjiangensis. RNAcentral's name for it is "bacterial LSU rRNA". It matches the Rfam family "Bacterial large subunit ribosomal RNA", at positions 1937 to 2925 of the family's 2925-position model. The record is from RNAcentral. Lineage: Bacteria; Pseudomonadati; Pseudomonadota; Gammaproteobacteria; Oceanospirillales; Halomonadaceae.
UAACUAUAACGGUCCUAAGGUAGCGAAAUUCCUUGUCGGGUAAGUUCCGACCUGCACGAAUGGCGUAAUGAUGGCCACGCUGUCUCCACCCGAGACUCAGUGAAAUUGAAAUCGCAGUGAAGAUGCUGUGUACCCGCGGCUAGACGGAAAGACCCCGUGAACCUUUACUACAGCUUCACACUGGAUGCUGAUGUUGCUUGUGUAGGAUAGCUGGGAGGCUUUGAAACCCGGACGCCAGUUCGGGUGGAGCCAACCUUGAAAUACCAGCCUGGCAUCAUUGGCGUUCUAACUCAGGUCCGUGAUCCGGAUCGAGGACAGUGUGUGGUGGGUAGUUUGACUGGGGCGGUCUCCUCCUAAAGAGUAACGGAGGAGCACGAAGGUACCCUCAGCACGGUUGGAAAUCGUGCAGUGAGUGCAAGAGCAUAAGGGUGCUUGACUGCGAGACAGACACGUCGAGCAGGUACGAAAGUAGGUUCUAGUGAUCCGGUGGUUCUGUAUGGAAGGGCCAUCGCUCAACGGAUAAAAGGUACUCCGGGGAUAACAGGCUGAUACCGCCCAAGAGUUCACAUCGACGGCGGUGUUUGGCACCUCGAUGUCGGCUCAUCACAUCCUGGGGCUGAAGUCGGUCCCAAGGGUAUGGCUGUUCGCCAUUUAAAGUGGUACGCGAGCUGGGUUUAGAACGUCGUGAGACAGUUCGGUCCCUAUCUGCCGUGGGCGUUGGACGUUUGAGAAGAGCUGCUCCUAGUACGAGAGGACCGGAGUGGACGCACCUCUGGUGUUCCGGUUGUCACGCCAGUGGCAUUGCCGGGUAGCUAUGUGCGGACAGGAUAACCGCUGAAGGCAUCUAAGCGGGAAGCCUCCUUCAAGAUGAGACGUCCCCGAGGCCUCGAGCCUCCUGAAGGGCCCAGCGAGACCAGCUGGUUGAUAGGCCGGGUGUGGAAGCGCUGCAAGGCGUUGAGCUAACCGGUACUAAUGGCCCGUGAGGCUUGACCAUAUAACACCCAAG